UGCAAAAUCUUUUAUUUUUUUCCUUUCUCACACACACCCCAGACCCCUAACGUUAAGCCAGCUUCCAUCUCCCCAUUCCACACGAUCUUGAGUAGCACACGUUAUGGUCGGUUCCUCCGAAGAGUGUUGUAUUAGGGUCUGAGAGGCAGAGGGGCUGGGAAAGACUUGUUAUAGUCCGUGUGGGAAUGAGAGAAGUCGGUGCAGAAUAGUAAACGGGAGUCUGUUUCCCACAGGUCCCCUUCCCCUGAGCCCAUCUACAAUAGCGAGGGGAAGCGGCUUAACACCCGAGAGUUCCGCACCCGCAAAAAGCUGGAAGAGGAGCGGCACAACCUCAUCACAGAGAUGGUUGCACUCAAUCCGGAUUUCAAGCCACCUGCAGAUUACAACCUCCAGCAACACGUGUGAGUGA
This 409-nucleotide long non-coding RNA is filed under the name Homo sapiens (human). Its description in RNAcentral is "non-protein coding lnc-PYGM-3:1". The record is from RNAcentral. Lineage: Eukaryota; Metazoa; Chordata; Mammalia; Primates; Hominidae.